CAAUGUUGAAAAGUAAACACGGGCGUUUUGCAGAGGCGCCAUUUUUCAUGAACACCGUGAGCUCCUGUGUGUCUGAAAUCUUCUGUGACCCAAAGGUUUCUAAGCAUGGAACAGAUCGUCGAGACGUUGUUUGGCGAGAUGUUUUUACAUCAGAAUAACCUUCAAAACCGGAUGAUUCUCGACUUAUUUGGCUGGUGAUUGUGGUGUUUUUUCAAAAUAGCACUUAACUUCCACAAAAAAAAAAGCAAUACUUUGAUUUCUGCCAGUUUCAUCUAAGUUGAUAUACAUUCAACAAGUUUUAGCUUUAUAGCUGCAAAAAGGGCGGGACUGUGUGUGUGAGAGAGAGAAUAUAGCUGUAAAAGACAGAGUCCUUGUCAACCUCUGCCCCCUCCUUCUUCCUCCUUUGAAAUUGACAGGUUUCCUAUUAGUCAAAUGCCGGCUUGGGGUCAAUCCAUCAAGCAUUCUGCAUGUCCAGUGAGUCCUCCUUACCCCCCCCGCUGGUCUAUGAAGCAGCAGUAAUGAUCGCAGAGAACCAGGGGCCGAGAGAUCUAUCAGGUCCACAACUGAAGUACCGAUAUAUGAGACGAGCGGGCAUAUCUCACCCCCCGUUUGGCCUGUUUGCUUCUGUGUGUGUGUGUGUGUGUGUGUGCGUGCUGAGGCACUGCAGCGCGGCGUCGUGCAUGCACAGUGGGUCUCGCCGCGUGAGGCUCUCUGCAGUAGGUCCCAGUGUGCUGUACAAUAAUGACCUGUCAGAAACGCAGGCCUUCGAAAAACACGGAUAAUCUACAGAGGCUAUCUGAACUAAAUGAAGCCAAGCCAAACCCCCCCAGAGACCCUCGAAACGCAUAAUUUAUUCCACUGGUCCCUUAUCAAAACUGACACACACCGAAAUAGCACAUGCUCGGCUCGGGGAGGAUGACUUCUGUCGUACACGCUGCUGUAGUUUUGGCCCAGGGAUGAAUAUUAUUCUAUAAUGAUGCCUCCUUGUUGUUUUAUAAUUCCAUAAUCUCUUGGUUACUUUUUUUUCAAGAUUUUGGAAUAACAUCUUCCCUGUUGUUCCCUUCCCUGCUUGCACAUAUCACAUAUGGCGCAUAUCGCUUGUUUUGGAAAAAGAUGAGGUAAGGGGGAAAUAAGGAAGUCACUGUGCUGUGGGUCUCAGUUUGUUUGUGUGUGAUGAAUUGAAUUUGAGGAUACUGUGACAGAUCAAUGUUAUGGCUGGUACUCAACCUGUGGCAUGACGCCUGUUUCAUUUCAUGUGGACCAAAAUGAAAAACCUCUGGUUGUUGGCGUUGGGGGAGCAGCUUCAAAGAGGCUGUUUGUGAUCACAAAUAAUUGAUUGAAAUUAAAGAUGCAAAAGAUUUCAAGUCAAAACACAUCAUCAUACAUCACAAAGUGAUGAUGCAAACUCGGACUAAAAGGGAGACACAGAUGCCUUUUACGGUGUCAGAACAUAAGACACUCAAUGCAGAUAUAUAUAUAUAUAUAUAUAUGCAAUGUAGUAUUGCAAAUGAAAUGUCGCAAAUCACAUAUAACAUAUGUGAUUUUACUAGAUACUAGUAUUGUUUUGCAAGUAUACAAACCCAAGAAUGAAACACCAAAGACCACUAGUAGACAUAUGUGUGCUUUAAUUAUUUAAUGGCUUUAAAUUGAAUUCAAAUCAGGAAAACAAGCUGAAAAUAUCCAGAAUCAUAUUUCAAGACGCAUCAAAUCCAGCCCAAAAAAUAUUUCGGCCCGUGAAGCAGGAGGAGUGGGCAGUCCGCUCUAAUGCAGCAUGAUCCAUGUGUGAUUAAGUCUUGUAAACGUUCUAAAAACAGAACUUGUCAUCAGUCAUCGCCACUUUGGGCUGCCAAAAAGCUCCCUCAUGCAGUCCGAGGCAAACGUAGAGAAGAGCCCAUGCUGAAUCUCCCGCGAGGUGAGUAAUGCCUUUUUAAGACGGGCCUGUCAGCUGUAAGCGACGUCGCAUCUGAACCCUCAGUCUGCCAGAAUGGCUUUUUGUCGGAAUCUUCGCCCCAUGGUAAUCCUAUUUCGGUGAAAUAAUCAGACUCGGUAAAGCUCCGAAUGUCAGUGAACCUAAACUGUCAGCAUUCAAUUAGGCAAAGAUCUGGAUCUCCGCUUGGCACAGCUCGUCAAGGCGAAUAAUACAGUCUCCGUCUCCCCUGAAGGGGAGAGCCGCCUGGAUGGAGACCUUUUGUCUGGAGGAUUGACACAGGUUGAUGCAACAGGCCAAAGCUUUUGUUGACGCUGUUUCAGGUUUCCCCAGGCCCCGGGUCGCCGAGCCCGAUCACUAACGUCGUGUCCUCAGAGAUACCCGCGGCUGCCCACCGGAGCGCUGUAGCUUGUGUCAGAGGGCACCGCCUCGCCUUCACACAGACGCCGCGUCGGUUUCAGCUGAGUGCCGUCGUGGCACUCGCCAUGUGUGGCUGGAUACCUGCUUCCCAGAAUCCAUCCCUCCCUCUCCUUAAACCCGGCACAGGGGACCGUCUCCCAAGAUUGGAAACAGAUCACACGGGGAAAGCUGGGCUACCUGCAGUGAUUCUUUCCUGCCCCGCUGGACCAUGAUUGGCAAGUUCUGGAGCCCUGCCACGAAAGGGGGAACGGACGCAUUUCUGCAGAUGACUGUGAGGCGAGCAGAGAGCAGAGAUUGAAUUCUCGCUCCCUUCCACCUGAGCGUGUGCGGUCGGGGAAACGGGAAAGCGUGGACUACACGACACAGUGUGCGCGCCAGGCCGUGCUGGAAGCUGAAGGAGGAGGAGCAUCAGUCUGCAGGGUUCUACUAC
Pungitius pungitius (ninespine stickleback) is the source of this 2777-nucleotide long non-coding RNA. RefSeq lists it as uncharacterized. Lineage: Eukaryota; Metazoa; Chordata; Actinopteri; Perciformes; Gasterosteidae. The record is from RefSeq and is a predicted model, not a curated record. The transcript is spliced from 4 exons.